AUGGUGAUGCCGACGGACCCGAUGCUAUGGCACAAGGUGGCCGCCGUCUCCGGGGUCGCUGCUCUUGGACUGGGCACCUACGGAGCGCACAUGUUCCGCCCGCAGAACCCUAGAUACAAAGAGAUUUGGCAGACCGCCUCCCUGUACCAUCUCGUCCACACCGCGGCGCUGCUCGGGGCUCCCAUGACGAAGCGCCCCAACAUCUUCGGAGGGCUUCUGACAACUGGAAUUGUGCUCUUCUCUGGAACGUGCUACACUGUGGCUUACCUUGAAGACAGGAAGUUCUCUUCACCAGCACCGAUCGGUGGCUUUGCAUUCAUUGCUGCUUGGGCCAGCCUGCUCUUCUGA
This 348-nucleotide ribosomal RNA is filed under the name Triticum aestivum (bread wheat). RNAcentral's name for it is "partial small subunit ribosomal RNA". The record is from RNAcentral. Lineage: Eukaryota; Viridiplantae; Streptophyta; Magnoliopsida; Poales; Poaceae.